UACGGGGGGGGCAAGCGUUGUUCGGAAUUACUGGGCGUAAAGGGCUCGUAGGCGGCCAACUAAGUCAGACGUGAAAUCCCUCGGCUUAACCGGGGAACUGCGUCUGAUACUGGAUGGCUUGAGUUUGGGAGAGGGAUGCGGAAUUCCAGGUGUAGCGGUGAAAUGCGUAGAUAUCUGGAGGAACACCGGUGGCGAAGGCGGGAUCCUGGGCCAGUACUGACGCUGAGGAGCGAAAGCGUGGGGAGCGAACAGG
RNAcentral lists this ribosomal RNA (253 nucleotides) under uncultured bacterium. RNAcentral describes it as "partial 16S ribosomal RNA". It matches the Rfam family "Bacterial small subunit ribosomal RNA", at positions 524 to 776 of the family's 1533-position model. The record is from RNAcentral.